This 423-nucleotide ribosomal RNA is filed under the name uncultured bacterium. RNAcentral describes it as "bacterial SSU rRNA". It matches the Rfam family "Bacterial small subunit ribosomal RNA", at positions 361 to 776 of the family's 1533-position model. The record is from RNAcentral.
AUCUUCCGCAAUGGACGAAAGUCUGACGGAGCAACGCCGCGUGAGUGAUGAAGGUUUUCGGAUCGUAAAACUCUGUUGUUAGGGAAGAACAAGUGCGAGAGUAACUGCUCGCACCUUGACGGUACCUAACCAGAAAGCCACGGCUAACUACGUGCCAGCAGCCGCGGUAAUACGUAGGUGGCAAGCGUUGUCCGGAAUUAUUGGGCGUAAAGCGCGCGCAGGCGGUUUCUUAAGUCUGAUGUGAAAGCCCCCGGCUCAACCGGGGAGGGUCAUUGGAAACUGGGAAACUUGAGUGCAGAAGAGGAGAGUGGAAUUCCACGUGUAGCGGUGAAAUGCGUAGAGAUGUGGAGGAACACCAGUGGCGAAGGCGACUCUCUGGUCUGUAACUGACGCUGAGGCGCGAAAGCGUGGGGAGCGAACAGG